This 276-nucleotide long non-coding RNA is filed under the name Mustela putorius furo (domestic ferret). RNAcentral describes it as "lncRNA (ENSMPUG00000023994.1)". Lineage: Eukaryota; Metazoa; Chordata; Mammalia; Carnivora; Mustelidae. The record is from RNAcentral.
CCAGACUCAUGCCAGCAGAGCACCACACUGCCUCAGCCCCCGUAGUUGGCAUUUGGACAAGAAUCUCUUCCUGACCCCAGAUGGCAUCACAGCUUCCUCAGUCUGAUCCUGUCAGCAUGUUUUUUCCAAGUACCUGAUUCGUGGAUAUGGCAGCGAUAAAACCAACUGAGAUUGCUUGGCUGGUCCCUUCUGGAACAGGCACCAAGAUGAGAUCCUAAUUUUCUUCAUUCUGUAAUGAUGUUUGCAAGAGGCAAGACUUGGAGGACAGGCUUUUUU